UUACUUACUUCACUUGACAGGUUUGGAUCCGUUUGAUGCACCGUAAAUCCACCAGUGCUAUUAUGGUGUCAAAAUGGUGGCGCUUAUUUCUGUUGGUUCUUUUUGUUACAAGUUUUUCGUCUAAAAAUUUUGGCAUUAACAUCUGUCCAACAAGAGAAAUAACUCUAUCCAGUGGUUACAUUACAUCACCUAACUAUCCCAGUGAUUAUGAUAAUAACAUAAAUUGUGCCUUAACGCUACGAGCACCAUCUGGUUUUUCCUUUCGUUUCACGUUUACCAAACUUCAUCUGGAAAGAGGACUUGGAAUCUGUAAGGAUUGAACAAUACAGAAACUUUCAUAUGUUUUAAAACUUGAGAGGUUAUGUUGAAAAUUACUUGAAUUCAAUAACAACCCUGGAUAUAACUCUACUUUUGUUUUGAAGGAUAAAUUCUAUUUCUUUCAUAUAUUAA
Molecule: long non-coding RNA, 450 nt
Organism: Xenia sp. Carnegie-2017
Lineage: Eukaryota; Metazoa; Cnidaria; Anthozoa; Malacalcyonacea; Xeniidae
Exons: 2
Source: RefSeq, a predicted model, not a curated record